GACGAACGCUGGCGGCGUGCCUAAUACAUGCAAGUAGAACGCUGAAGAGAGGAGCUUGCUCUUCUUGGAAGAGUUGCGAACGGGUGAGUAACGCGUAGGUAACCUGCCUUGUAGCGGGGGAUAACUAUUGGAAACGAUAGCUAAUACCGCAUAACAAUGGGUGACCCAUGUCAUUCAUUUGAAAGGGGCAACUGCUCCACUACAAGAUGGACCUGCGUUGUAUUAGCUAGUAGGUGAGGUAACGGCUCACCUAGGCGACGAUACAUAGCCGACCUGAGAGGGUGAUCGGCCACACUGGGACUGAGACACGGCCCAGACUCCUACGGGAGGCAGCAGUAGGGAAUCUUCGGCAAUGGGGGCAACCCUGACCGAGCAACGCCGCGUGAGUGAAGAAGGUUUUCGGAUCGUAAAGCUCUGUUGUAAGUCAAGAACGAGUGUGAGAGUGGAAAGUUCACACUGUGACGGUAGCUUACCAGAAAGGGACGGCUAACUACGUGCCAGCAGCCGCGGUAAUACGUAGGUCCCGAGCGUUGUCCGGAUUUAUUGGGCGUAAAGCGAGCGCAGGCGGUUAGAUAAGUCUGAAGUUAAAGGCUGUGGCUUAACCAUAGUACGCUUUGGAAACUGUUUAACUUGAGUGCAGAAGGGGAGAGUGGAAUUCCAUGUGUAGCGGUGAAAUGCGUAGAUAUAUGGAGGAACACCGGUGGCGAAAGCGGCUCUCUGGUCUGUAACUGACGCUGAGGCUCGAAAGCGUGGGGAGCAAACAGG
This 765-nucleotide ribosomal RNA is filed under the name uncultured Streptococcus sp. RNAcentral describes it as "bacterial SSU rRNA". It matches the Rfam family "Bacterial small subunit ribosomal RNA", at positions 28 to 776 of the family's 1533-position model. Lineage: Bacteria; Bacillati; Bacillota; Bacilli; Lactobacillales; Streptococcaceae. The record is from RNAcentral.